CGCUUAUUUACAACAGGUACCCUUUCUUCUCCUGUCAAGGUGUUUAUAUCCAGUUUAUUAGGGUUUCGACAUCUGUGUCGUUUUUGUUUCGGCUUCUGAAAUGAGGAAAACAGCACAUCUGCACUCUUUGGUACAUAACUUGGCAUAUCUACAGUGUAAGUAGGAUGCAAUUUAAGCCAUUCAACUAAAUCCUUGUUUUUGGGAGCAUCUUCUCCC
Molecule: long non-coding RNA, 216 nt
Filed under: Gallus gallus (chicken)
Lineage: Eukaryota; Metazoa; Chordata; Aves; Galliformes; Phasianidae
Source: RNAcentral